Molecule: ribosomal RNA, 500 nt
Filed under: uncultured Myrionecta
Lineage: Eukaryota; Ciliophora; Litostomatea; Cyclotrichida; Mesodiniidae
Description: bacterial SSU rRNA
Rfam family: Eukaryotic small subunit ribosomal RNA
Source: RNAcentral
GAAAACUUACCAGGUCAAGACAUGGGCGUGAUUGACAGGCUAAUGACUUUUCUCGAUUCCAUGGAUGGUGGUGCAUGGUCGCACUUAGUUGGUGCAGUGAUUUGUCAGGUUUAUUCCGGUAACGAACGAGACCUCGGCCUUGUAAAUAGCUAUGCUGCUUACAGGGACAUUGGCGGCUACGCCAAGGAAGCUCGAGGCAAUUGCAGAUCUGGAAUGCCCUUAGAUGUCCUGUGUCGCACGCGUGCUACAAUGACGCCACGAACGAGCUUGCGUGAUGAAAGUUACGCAUAAUCAGCAGUCGGCGUCUUAAGGGAUAGUCUCUUGUAACUGUGGGACUCCAACUAGGAAUGUCUCGUAAGCACAAGUCAACAUCUUGUGUUGAUUACGUCCCUGCUCUUUGUACACACCGCCCGUCGCUCCUACCGAUCGAAUGUUUAGGUGAAUUUGAUGGACGUAAGGAAGUCAAAUAAACCUGAGCACUAGAGAAGAGAGUCGAUAUU